Molecule: ribosomal RNA, 253 nt
Filed under: uncultured bacterium
Lineage: Bacteria
Description: partial 16S ribosomal RNA
Rfam family: Bacterial small subunit ribosomal RNA
Source: RNAcentral
UACGGGGGGGGCAAGCGUUGUUCGGAAUUACUGGGCGUAAAGGGCUCGUAGGCGGCCAACUAAGUCAGACGUGAAAUCCCUCGGCUUAACCGGGGAACUGCGUCUGAUACUGGAUGGCUUGAAUCCGGGAGAGGGAUGCGGAAUUCCAGGUGUAGCGGUGAAAUGCGUAGAUAUCUGGAGGAACACCGGUGGCGAAGGCGGCAUCCUGGACCGGCAUUGACGCUGAGGAGCGAAAGCCAGGGAAGCAAACGGG